UUUGGGCUUUACCCACUAUAU
This 21-nucleotide small nuclear RNA is filed under the name Arabidopsis thaliana (thale cress). Its description in RNAcentral is "snRNA_18746". Lineage: Eukaryota; Viridiplantae; Streptophyta; Magnoliopsida; Brassicales; Brassicaceae. The record is from RNAcentral.